Non-coding RNA from Cinara cedri, 347 nucleotides. The record is from the annotation of a GenBank genome assembly. Lineage: Eukaryota; Metazoa; Arthropoda; Insecta; Hemiptera; Aphididae.
GAGUUUAUAUGUUAUAAAAUAUAAAUAUUCCGUUCCGGUUAAAUAUUGAUUUAAAUAAAUAUAUUAGUAAACUCACGCGAACGAGCACCACCGUAUUAUACAUACGGACGACGGGUUGAUUCCGACGAACCAUCGAAGAAUACAGUUUUUAUUAUUUAUCCGUAUUGUUAUUCUUUUUAUUUUCGUCGUAGAAUCGUGAACACGUAUAAGCCCUUCGUCCGUCUUCUCCCUGCGUCCGUCAUUAACGAAAUCAAAUAUUAUGGUUGAAGAGGGAAUUGGGGUCACAACGAGAUCUAGUAAACUUCUAUUAUAAUACGAUAAUAAUAUAGUCGGUCCUUUUUAUGGCC